AGAGUUUGAUCCUGGCUCAGGACGAACGCUGGCGGCGUGCCUAAUGCAUGCAAGUCGAGCGGGCUACGAUCUUCGGAUUGUAGCUUAGCGGCGAACGGGUGAGUAACACGUAGGUAAUCUACCCUUCAGAGGAGGACAACCUCAGGAAACUGGGGCUAAACCUUCAUACGUUCACUGGUAGGGAUACUGGUGAAGAAAGAGUUACCUUAGUGGUAGCUGCUGAAGGAUGAGCCUGCGGCCCAUCAGGUAGUUGGUGAGGUAACGGCUCACCAAGCCGAAGACGGGUAACCGGUCUGAGAGGAUGUCCGGUCACACUGGGACUGAGACACGGCCCAGACUCCUACGGGAGGCAGCAGCAGGGAAUCUUGGGCAAUGGGCGAAAGCCUGACCCAGCGACGCCGCGUGGAGGUAGAAGUCCUUCGGGGCGUAAACUCCUGGACUGGGGGACGAGUAAGGACGGUACCCCAGUAGAAAGGGACGGCUAACUACGUGCCAGCAGCCGCGGUAAAACGUAGGUCCCGAGCGUUGUUCGGAUUCACUGGGUGUAAAGGGCGCGUAGGUGGUUGUCUGUGUCUCAUGUGAAAACUCAGGGCUCAACUCUGAGAUUGCGUGGGAAACUAGGCAGCUAGAGGACGGUAGAGGGGAGUGGAAUUCCCGGUGUAGCGGUAAAAUGCGUAGAUAUCGGGAGGAACACCGGUGGCGAAGGCGGCUCUCUGGGCCGAUCCUGACGCUGAGCGCGAAAGCUAG
RNAcentral lists this ribosomal RNA (747 nucleotides) under uncultured bacterium. RNAcentral's name for it is "bacterial SSU rRNA". It matches the Rfam family "Bacterial small subunit ribosomal RNA", at positions 8 to 763 of the family's 1533-position model. The record is from RNAcentral.